GUUUGCCAUGGGAAGGCAAUCUACGACUCCCUGUCUCUUAAUGUCCCACGUGGGAUCCACAGGGGUAGCCUGCCACGACUUGUGUUUGGGUCCCAAUGGCGGUCCUUAUCAUGGCUGUCCCCAUUGUCUGGCUGAGUUGCCCUCUCAGGGUAGGAUCGUAUGGGGCCAUUCACGUCCUAUGUCAGCUAGUGGACGACUCAUGUGCGUUUUCUCAAGAUUCUGGCAUUGCUAAGGAUCUCUUGGUCUGCAGUCUACCAAGAGGAGUAUACCGUACGGGAGCCCUAUCUCUCGGCAGUUUUUUCCGCUUACAGUUUCCCCCCAGUACAUCUUGUAUUUCAUCGCGUUCUGACGUCAUGGUAUCGACGUGUCUUCUUCCUUCUUGCCGUUCAGUACAUCGGCUUCUGCACAACACAUAUUUCAUUUUUAUUCGUCCUCUGUGUCGUACCCCUAUUCUCCGGAUAGGCCACAGCUCUGUUGACAGAUUGUACACGACCAUGUAGAUCCAGGAUCUGGUUCUUUCGUCCGUCUACUCAUGGACAGCUGUUUAUUUCUGCGUACGGCCGUUUUGGACUGUUUCUGCAUCUUCGCUCGCCCGUUGGAUUUGGUGGAUCCUCUCAUUGACUGACCUUGAGUUCCUCUGGGACACUUUUGGUUCGGGGUGCUGUCACCUCAACAAUUUUGGAAGCCGUUGGGUCCCUUCUGCAUUUUCCCUACACCGCUGCUUGGUUUAGGGAAUCAGUUUUUCCAUUCUCCUUUAUUUCAGUCCUCUAUCUCAUAUUGCUUCUGGUUCUACUAUUUGGGCGUUAAAAUUGCAAAUAUGAAGCCUCCUGUCCUGCCAUAAAAUUAGGGAUUAUUCUAGCCUCGGUGAGGGAAUAAUCUAAAUUUUAUUAAAGACAGGAGGCGAAUAUUUCCCCCCCUUUUUUUUUACGUUCCCUCCCUGGAUCUGGGUUUUAUUCUAUUAUAAAUAAUUGGGGAUAUUGUUUAUGUUUUGUGAAUGCAUGGUUUUACAUAAUAAAGGUUAUUUCUAAUAUUCAGUGAUGGUUGUCCGUGUGCGUUUUAUUCAUCAUGUUUGUGUUGUAAUUAUGUUUCG
Pelobates cultripes (western spadefoot toad) is the source of this 1090-nucleotide non-coding RNA. The record is from the annotation of a GenBank genome assembly. Lineage: Eukaryota; Metazoa; Chordata; Amphibia; Anura; Pelobatidae.